Dioscorea cayenensis subsp. rotundata (Guinea yam) is the source of this 107-nucleotide small nucleolar RNA. NCBI's taxonomy places the organism in Eukaryota, Viridiplantae, Streptophyta, Magnoliopsida, Dioscoreales, Dioscoreaceae. The record is from RefSeq and is a predicted model, not a curated record.
AACCCAUGUUGAGGACAUUUACGCAAGAGCUCCUUGAACCUAUCCCAUGUCCCAAAUAGAGACUCCAAUUUCCUUCGCACAAAAUAUGAUAUUUCAUUCCUAAGUUU